Cololabis saira (Pacific saury) is the source of this 363-nucleotide non-coding RNA. The record is from the annotation of a RefSeq genome assembly. Lineage: Eukaryota; Metazoa; Chordata; Actinopteri; Beloniformes; Belonidae.
AUGUUCUCUGUAGCUCUGAUGCUGCUGCUGGCAGCUGGAUCCUGUGUUCAUGGUCAAACCUUGACAGAAUCAGGACCAGUGGUUAAAAGACCUGGAGAAUCCCACACACUGACCUGUACCGCUUCUGGACUGACGCUGAGAGGCAACUACAUGGCCUGGAUCAGACAGGCUCCUGGGAAAGGUCUGGAGUGGAUUGCAUGGCACGACAGCAGCAGUGGUUCCAGGAGAUUCUACUCUCAGUCAGUUCAAGGCCGCUUCACCAUCUCCAGAGACGACAGCAGACAGCUGCUGAAUCUGCAGAUGAACAGUCUGAGGACUGAAGACUCUGCUGUUUAUUACUGUGCUCGUGAUACACAGAGAUAG